AGCUCCAAUAGCGUAUAUUAAAGUUGUUGUAGUUAAAAAGCUCGUAGUUGGAUUUGUGGUGUGUCCAGCUGGCCUUUGCUCUUUGAGUGAUUGUGCUGUGCUGGUCUGCCAUGUUUGGGUGGAAUCUGUGUGGCAUUAAGUUGUCGUGCAGGGGAUGCCCAUCGUUUACUGUGAAAAAAUUAGAGUGUUCAAAGCAGGCUUAUGCCGUUGAAUAUAUUAGCAUGGAAUAAUGAUAUAGGACCUUGGUACUAUUUUGUUGGUUUGCGCACUAAGGUAAUGAUUAAGAGGGACAGUUGGGGGUAUUUGUAUUCCAUUGUCAGAGGUGAAAUUCUUAGAUUUUUGGAAGACAAACUACUGCGAAAGCAUUUACCAAGGAUGUUUUCAUUAAUCAAGAACGAAA
This 400-nucleotide ribosomal RNA is filed under the name phytoplankton environmental sample. RNAcentral describes it as "partial small subunit ribosomal RNA". It matches the Rfam family "Eukaryotic small subunit ribosomal RNA", at positions 587 to 988 of the family's 1831-position model. The record is from RNAcentral.